GGACGGGUGAGUAACACGUGGAUAACCUACCUAUAAGACUGGGAUAACUUCGGGAAACCGGAGCUAAUACCGGAUAAUAUAUUGAACCGCAUGGUUCAAUAGUGAAAGACGGUUUUGCUGUCACUUAUAGAUUGAUCCGCGCCGCAUUAGCUAGUUGGUAAGGUAACGGCUUACCAAGGCAACGAUGCGUAGCCGACCUGAGAGGGUGAUCGGCCACACUGGAACUGAGACACGGUCCAG
Molecule: ribosomal RNA, 240 nt
Filed under: uncultured Staphylococcus sp.
Lineage: Bacteria; Bacillati; Bacillota; Bacilli; Caryophanales; Staphylococcaceae
Description: partial 16S ribosomal RNA
Rfam family: Bacterial small subunit ribosomal RNA
Source: RNAcentral